Molecule: ribosomal RNA, 564 nt
Filed under: Pseudocoleophoma typhicola
Lineage: Eukaryota; Fungi; Ascomycota; Dothideomycetes; Pleosporales; Dictyosporiaceae
Description: eukaryotic LSU rRNA
Rfam family: 5.8S ribosomal RNA (bases 204-357)
Source: RNAcentral
UCGUAACAAGGUUUCCGUAGGUGAACCUGCGGAAGGAUCAUUACUGUUUGCUUGCGGCUUCGCCCUUCGGGGUGGAGUUGUAGCAUGCUAUCCUUGCCUAUGUCUACCUGUUGUUAUUCCCUCGGCGGGGAAACCCGCCGUUGGGGACCAAUUCAACUCCAAUGGAAUAGCAUCAAAACUUCUGAAUCAAACAAAAUAAUCACAACUUUCAACAAUGGAUCUCUUGGUUCUGGCAUCGAUGAAGAACGCAGCGAAAUGCGAUAAGUAGUGUGAAUUGCAGACUUUAGUGAAUCAUCGAAUCUUUGAACGCACAUUGCGCCCCUUGGUAUUCCAUUGGGCAUGCCUGUUCGAGCGUCAUUUACACCCUCAAGCUCUGCUUGGUGUUGGGUGCCUGUCCGCGUCUUUGGCGUGGACUCGCCCUAAAGAUAUUGGCAGCGGCUUUGCCAGCUUCUUGCGCAGCACUUUGCGCUCUUGGAGGCUUUGGCGGGCGAGCGUCCAUCAAGAAACCAUCCAGUUUGACCUCGAAUCAGGUAGGGAUACCCGCUGAACUUAAGCAUAUCAAAA